UGGGGAAUUUUGCACAAUGGGGGAAACCCUGAUGCAGCGACGCCGCGUGAUUUAGAAGGCCUUCGGGUUGUAAAAAUCUUUUCUAUGGGAAGAAAAUGACAGUACCAUAGGAAUAAGGACCGGCUAAUUACGUGCCAGCAGCUGCGGUAAUACGUAAGGUCCGAGCGUUGUCCGGAAUCAUUGGGCGUAAAGGGUACGUAGGCGGGUAAGCAAGUUAGAAGGGAAAUCCUAUAGCUCAACUAUAGUAAGCUUUUAAACCUGCUCAUCUUGAGGUAUGGAAAGGAAAGUGGAAUUCCUGGUGUAGCGGUGAGAUGCGCAGAUAUUAGGAGGAAUACCGGUGGCGAAGGCGAGUUUCUGGCCAUAACCUGACGCUGAGGUACGAUAGCGUGGGUAGCAAACAGA
RNAcentral lists this ribosomal RNA (402 nucleotides) under bacterium. Its description in RNAcentral is "partial 16S ribosomal RNA". It matches the Rfam family "Bacterial small subunit ribosomal RNA", at positions 355 to 776 of the family's 1533-position model. The record is from RNAcentral.